RNAcentral lists this ribosomal RNA (253 nucleotides) under uncultured bacterium. Its description in RNAcentral is "partial 16S ribosomal RNA". It matches the Rfam family "Bacterial small subunit ribosomal RNA", at positions 524 to 776 of the family's 1533-position model. The record is from RNAcentral.
UACAGAGGUGGCAAGCGUUGUUCGGAAUUAUUGGGCGUAAAGAGCGCGUAGGCGGUCCGAUAAGUCGGCUGUGAAAGUCAGGGGCUCAACCCUUGGAAGCCGGCCGAUACUGUCGGACUAGAGUCCGGAAGAGGCGAGUGGAAUUCCCGGUGUAGCGGUGAAAUGCGCAGAUAUCGGGAGGAACACCAAUGGCGAAGGCAGCUCGCUGGGACGGUACUGACGCUGAGGCGCGAAAGCGUGGGGAGUAAACAGG